RNAcentral lists this non-coding RNA (252 nucleotides) under Clostridium sp. Its description in RNAcentral is "T-box sequence". It matches the Rfam family "T-box leader". From Rfam's summary of the family: Uncharged tRNA acts as the effector for transcription antitermination of genes in the T-box leader family. T-boxes are found upstream of many aminoacyl-tRNA synthetase genes and some amino acid biosynthetic genes usually in Gram-positive bacteria. The record is from RNAcentral. Lineage: Bacteria; Bacillati; Bacillota; Clostridia; Eubacteriales; Clostridiaceae.
GACAAACCGAUGAGAAAGAGUAGUAGGUUUGAACACCGUCUUUCAAGAGAGCCGCAGGUGGUGCGAUUGCGGCAGACAGGCUCAUAUCGAAUGGACUUUCGAGGGCGGAGCGAAAAUGCAGAGCAUGAGUAGCGACCGACGGGGGCUUCACCCGUUAUCAGCGAAGAACGCAUGAUAGUGCGUUAAAUGAGUGGGCGAUAAUAUCGUCAAUCCGGGUGGUACCGCAGGAGUAAUUUAUCUCUUGUCCCUGAA